GGGUAAACUCAACACUGAGAAAUACAGUAACAGUUGACCUGGGUAAACUCAACACUGAGAAAUACAGUAACAGUUGACCUGGAUAAACUCAACACUGAGAAAUACAGUAACAGUUGACCUGGGUAAACUCAACACUGAGAAAUACAGUAACAGUUGACCUGGAUAAACUCAACACUGAGAAAUACAGUAACAGUUGAUUGUCUUGAUCAAGGGUGCAUAAACUCAGGCCCUCGACGUCCACAGUCCUGCUAGGUUAGUGUUUCUCCCUGGUUCUUAUGAUCAACUAAUGAUUGGCUGACGUGUGCACACACCUCGUUUCCCAGCGACAAAUCAAUCUCUGGUAACAAGGCAAGGAUGAAAAAACUGUCCUUUUCACACUACAGAGUCGAUCUAAGCCAAGCUGAACUGGCCUGCAAAGGACAAGGUGAUAAGAAUGGUUAGAUGGUUAGGAUCAGAACAACAGUGUGACUAGGUUAAAGGAGUAGAACCAGACCAGUAUGGUUAGGAUCAGAACGACAGUGUGACUAGGUUAAAGGAGUAGAACCAGAACAGUAUGGUUAGGAUCAGAACGACAGUGUGAUUAGGUUAAAGGAGUAGAACCAGACCAGUAUGGUUAGGAUCAGAACGACAGUGUGACUAGGUUAAAGGAGUAGAACCAGAACAGUAUGGUUAGGAUCAGAACGACAGUGUGAUUAGGUUAAAGGAGUAGAACCAGAACAGUAUGGUUAUGAUCAAAUUCAGCUCCUUACGUUCUUGAACUAAGUUUAGCACCCUAAUAAAAAAACUACAUAUCAGAAUAUAUCAAAUAUAUAUUUUGUGUCUCUCUGGAUCAGAGCCUCUACUUGUCUUACAAGAGUAUUACUAUGCAAUAUACAAGCUGGACUUUAAAGUCUUUCGCUUCCCUCAAUACUCCUCACCUUCAGAAGUGUCUUUGGAGCAGAAUCAAGUCAAACUACAAGAAACCCAAGAAUUACAAGUCAUACUUAUAAUUGACCUGUAAGCAGCUAGUUGAAACUGUCAUCACAGUUCAAGGAACAGGAUCCUGGGUGUGUUAAUACAGCACUUGAACCAUAAGGCACUUCUUACAGUACUUAUCAGUAUAAUGAUAGGUCACCUAUAAUAAGGC
This is a long non-coding RNA of Oncorhynchus tshawytscha (Chinook salmon), 1126 nucleotides long. The record is from Ensembl. Lineage: Eukaryota; Metazoa; Chordata; Actinopteri; Salmoniformes; Salmonidae.